UCCUGGCUCAGGAUGAACGCUGGCGGCGUGCCUAACACAUGCAAGUCGAACGGGACUAUUGAGACGAUUCGGUCUGAUCUUAAGUUAGUGGCGGACGGGUGAGUAACGCGUGGACAACCUGCCUUCACAGGGGGAUAGCAGCUGGAAACGGCUGGUAAUACCGCAUACGCUCAUGCCACCGCAUGGUGGUGUGAGGAAAGAUUUAUCGGUGAAAGAUGGAUCCGCGUCUGAUUAGCCAGUUGGCGGGUAACGGCCCACCAAAGCGACGAUCAGUAGCCGGCCUGAGAGGGCGGACGGCCACAUUGGGACUGAGACACGGCCCAGACUCCUACGGGAGGCAGCAGUGGGGGAUAUUGCACAAUGGGGGCAAGCCUGAUGCAGCGACGCCGCCGUGAGUGAAGAAGUAUUUCGGUAUGUAAAGCUCUAUCAGCAGGGAAGAAAGGCCCGCAAGGGAGAUGACGGUACCUGACUAAGAAGCCCCGGCUAACUACGUGCCAGCCGCCGC
This 505-nucleotide ribosomal RNA is filed under the name uncultured bacterium. RNAcentral describes it as "bacterial SSU rRNA". It matches the Rfam family "Bacterial small subunit ribosomal RNA", at positions 17 to 518 of the family's 1533-position model. The record is from RNAcentral.